AAAUUUUGUUUCUUUUGCUUUUCUGGUAAUUUAAUUCAAGAAAUCGUGAGGCCAUAUCCAGUUGACCUGGAAAUCUCCCUAUAAAGCACUUCAGUGGAAAACAUCUUCAGUACCUGAGAAGAGCUACUGACCAGCCUGAUGAUGCCAUGAUGAAGAGCUGAACAUCCUGGGCCUACAUCCUAGAGCUCAAACAUCCACCACACCUGCUUUUAGAUGAGUAGUUUUGUCUUCUUUUCAACUGUAUUAAGGAAGGCAGAAGGACGUCACCUAAUGUUGUCUUUUGACUACUGAUGAUGAGGAUCACAGUAUGGACAUUAAAGUUAAAUGAGGAUGCAGAGUGUUUAAGACCUCCAGGACUCUUUCCAAUCAUCUAGAUUCUGCACUCCGAUUUAUAGUUGCAGUAACUUAGAUACUGACAUAAUUCCCUCCUGUUGUCUGCUGUCUUUGAGGAAUUUUUUCUCAUGGAGGAACAGUAAGAGCAUGG
This is a long non-coding RNA of Motacilla alba alba, 484 nucleotides long. RefSeq lists it as uncharacterized. The record is from RefSeq and is a predicted model, not a curated record. NCBI's taxonomy places the organism in Eukaryota, Metazoa, Chordata, Aves, Passeriformes, Motacillidae. The transcript has 4 exons.